This 643-nucleotide ribosomal RNA is filed under the name Natrinema altunense. RNAcentral's name for it is "bacterial SSU rRNA". It matches the Rfam family "Archaeal small subunit ribosomal RNA", at positions 66 to 709 of the family's 1478-position model. Lineage: Archaea; Methanobacteriati; Methanobacteriota; Halobacteria; Halobacteriales; Natrialbaceae. The record is from RNAcentral.
AGUUCAGACUCGUAGCAGAUAGCUCAGUAACACGUGGCCAAACUACCCUAUGGAUCCGAAUAACCUCGGGAAACUGAGGCUAAUAUGGAAUAGCGUUCAUCGCCUGGAGUGGCACGAACGCGAAACGUUACGGCGCCAUAGGAUGUGGCUGCGGCCGAUUAGGUAGACGGUGGGGUAACGGCCCACCGUGCCCAUAAUCGGUACGGGUUGUGAGAGCAAGAGCCCGGAGACGGUAUCUGAGACAAGAUACCGGGCCCUACGGGGCGCAGCAGGCGCGAAACCUUUACACUGCACGCGAGUGCGAUAAGGGGACUCCGAGUGCGAGGGCAUAUAGUCCUCGCUUUUCACGACCGUAAGGUGGUCGUAGAAUAAGUGCUGGGCAAGACCGGUGCCAGCCGCCGCGGUAAUACCGGCAGCACGAGUGAUGACCGCUAUUAUUGGGCCUAAAGCGUCCGUAGCUGGCCACGCAAGUCUAUCGGGAAAUCCGCGCGCUUAACGCGCGGGCGUCCGGUGGAAACUGCGUGGCUUGGGACCGGAAGACCAGAGGGGUACGUCCGGGGUAAGAGUGAAAUCCCGUAAUUCUGGACGGACCACCGGUGGCGAAAGCGCCUCUGGAAGACGGAUCCGACGGUGAGGGACGAAA